Long non-coding RNA from Mandrillus leucophaeus (drill), 926 nucleotides. RefSeq lists it as uncharacterized. The record is from RefSeq and is a predicted model, not a curated record. The transcript has 2 exons. Lineage: Eukaryota; Metazoa; Chordata; Mammalia; Primates; Cercopithecidae.
GGGCGGCGGGAGGCUCCGUGGCCGGCCCCGGGUUGAAGUUGAGAGGGCGGCCUUCAAUUCUGAACCCAUUUAGGCAGCACGGGCAGCCCUCCUCGCCGUCGGCUGCAUCAGAGUCCCCCUGCUCAGGCUUGGAGAUGCUGCCGGAUGCUGUCUGGGAGGCUUGGUCAUGGUGACAUCCUUAUCUCCCCGUGCACGUUACUGCAUUCAGAGCUUAGGUCACCUGGACACUGAACUCAGGUGAAUUUUGUUUGAGAUCCCCGGAGAAGGACAGUUCUCUGGAAGGUUUUCCAGGACCCAUCACGGAAAGGAUGAGAAGGGAGAGGUCCUGGUCCGGGACACAGUUACAAUGGUAGUGUAACACUGGGAAACUUUAUUGCGUGAAGUCCUUGUCACUCCCUCUACCUCCCUCUUUUACGUGGACUCUGCCAAAGACCAGGAUAUUAGAAUGCAGUGAAGUGACCGAGUGUAGUGGAACCUUGGGAACAUUAGUCUGGAGCCAGGCGGCUGGGGUUUGCAUCCUGGUUUUGCCCCUCCUUAGCUGGCUGACAUGGCACAAGUCACGUACCCUCUCUGAGCCUUACUGUCUUCAGUGGCAAAUGAAUCUGUCAACAGGCCCCAUUCCAUGGGGCUGUUACUGCUGAAAUUAAAGGAAGCUCGUCUAUAGAAAGCACUUAACAUUGUGCCUGGCACAUGGCGUCUGGUGGAUAAAUGGGACUUAGGACUGAAACUCAUGCCUUGGUGUGUUUUUGCAGUGAUGUUUUGUUCUGGGGUGCAUCACAAGAGACAAGGUUCUUGGCUGGGCGUGGUGGCUCAAGCCAGUAAUCCUAGCACUUUGAGAGGCCGAGUGGGGAGGAUCGCUUGAGCCCAGGAGUUUGAGACCAGGCUGGGCAACUGGCAAGUGGUGAAGCCUCAUCUCUACCAAAAAA